RNAcentral lists this ribosomal RNA (207 nucleotides) under uncultured bacterium. RNAcentral's name for it is "partial 16S ribosomal RNA". It matches the Rfam family "Bacterial small subunit ribosomal RNA", at positions 568 to 774 of the family's 1533-position model. The record is from RNAcentral.
UGCGUAGGCUGUCUAGAAAGUUGGAAGUGAAAGCCCAGGGCUCAACCCUGGAAUUGCUUUCAAAACUACUAGACUCGGAUUUGGGAGAGGAUAGCGGAAUUGUCAGUGUAGCAGUGAAAUGCGUAGAUAUUGACAGGAACACCAGUGGCGCAAGCGGCUAUCUGGACCAACAUCGACGCUGAGGCACGAAAGCGUGGGGAUCAAACA